This 74-nucleotide transfer RNA is filed under the name Rhodococcus pyridinivorans. RNAcentral's name for it is "tRNA-Lys". It matches the Rfam family "tRNA". Rfam says of the family: Transfer RNA (tRNA) molecules are approximately 80 nucleotides in length. Their secondary structure includes four short double-helical elements and three loops (D, anti-codon, and T loops). Lineage: Bacteria; Bacillati; Actinomycetota; Actinomycetes; Mycobacteriales; Nocardiaceae. The record is from RNAcentral.
GCCCCCGUAGCUCAGUUGGUUAGAGCUGCCGACUUUUAAUCGGUAGGUCGUCGGUUCGAGUCCGACCGGGGGCA